Molecule: small RNA, 86 nt
Filed under: Kosakonia cowanii
Lineage: Bacteria; Pseudomonadati; Pseudomonadota; Gammaproteobacteria; Enterobacterales; Enterobacteriaceae
Also listed under: 1 other name
Description: OmrA-B family
Rfam family: OmrA-B family
Source: RNAcentral
CCCAGAGGUAUUGAUUGGUGAUUUAUUCAGUACGCUUUUCGUACUUAUUGAUUGCACCAACCUGCGCGGACGCGCAGGUUUUUUUU